RNAcentral lists this long non-coding RNA (827 nucleotides) under Homo sapiens (human). RNAcentral describes it as "non-protein coding lnc-PRSS22-5:3". The record is from RNAcentral. Lineage: Eukaryota; Metazoa; Chordata; Mammalia; Primates; Hominidae.
AUUCUCCAGCAACGCGGUGCGGUACCGGGCUGAGUCCAAGCGCCAGGAGCCGCGGGGUCCUGGUUGCUGUUUUCCUGUGACGCUUGGCGGCGGCGGCCAGAGCGGCCCCAGCACCGUGCCCUGGGCUCACUGCGGCUCUCCUAUCACCCAGGGGUCGUCCCGGUCCGCCCGCACUCUUCUCUCCGCCCGACCCCCCUCUGGCUGCGCGUCCUCGGCUGGCUCGGGGAGGGCGCCGCUCCUCCCUGGGAGACCCCAGGGAGACCCGCCUCACGGCCUGCGCACCUCCUCUCGCUCUAAAGCGGCCGCUGGAGGAGCCACAGGUCUGGCGGGUCCAUGUCGAGGUGCCCUGGGCUCCCGCACGACCCCACGGCCUCCUGCGUCCCGCACCUCUUGUGUCCUGCAGCCGCCCGCGUCCUCUCUGGGACCCCUUCCUUCCGAGUCCGUCCACAUCCCCGGCGGUUCCUCUGAAAUCCGCACCCCCCAACCCCGGAACCUCGGCUCUUCCGCGCGCUCCUCGUCCCCGCAUCCUCAGCCCCUAGAUGUCCUCCGCGUUCUGUAUCCCCCUGCACCACACCGCUCCCUCUCUCCCUGCCCUUCGCACUAGGACCCUCAGGGACCAAAAUCGUCCAAGAUGCCUUCCCUGGUGUCGAGUUUAUGUUAAGGGGUUGGGUGAGGAGACCAAAAAGCAGUGGAUGUGGUAACCACAGGGGCGCCGUGUGUCCGAGUCGGGCGCCUGUCGGAGGAAGCGAGACGGGAGGAGAGGCUGCGGCUCGCGCCCUGGGCAGCGACAGUGUGGACGCCAUUGCAAUUUCCCAACGGCUGCCACC